CAAUAGCGUAUAUUUAAGUUGUUGCAGUUAAAAAGCUCGUAGUCGGAUUUCGGGGCGUUCCGACCGGUCUGCCGAUGGGUAUGCACUGGCCGGAGUGUCCUUUUUGCCGGAGACCGUGCCUACUCUUAACUGAGCGGGGGCGGGAGACGGCACUUUUACUUUGAAAAAAUCAGAGUGUUUCAAGCAGGCAGCUCGCUCUUGCAUGGAUUAGCAUGGGAUAAUGAAAUAGGACUUUGGUGCUAUUUUGUUGGUUUCGAACACCGAAGUAAUGAUGAGAAGGGACAGUCAGGGGCACUCGUAUUCCGCAGAGAGAGGUGAAAUUCUCAGACCCGCGGAAGACGAACCACUGCGAAAGCAUUUGCCAGGGAUGUUUNCACUGA
Molecule: ribosomal RNA, 380 nt
Filed under: uncultured eukaryote
Lineage: Eukaryota
Description: partial 18S ribosomal RNA
Rfam family: Eukaryotic small subunit ribosomal RNA
Source: RNAcentral